AAGGGGUUAAUAGCUACACACAAAGGCUUGGAGCAUAAUUGGUGUUAUUGGAAGGUUCAAGAAACAUAUUCGAGUAAAGAUUACUGAUUCGCGACUUUAUGAGUCUAUCGGGGUACUAACUGCAAGCGCACAGUCUAAUCGCGUAGUUUUAAAAGAUAUCGAUCCCACAGGGACUUAAUGAAUCGAUCUACCAUUUUUCUAG
Molecule: long non-coding RNA, 202 nt
Filed under: Lathyrus oleraceus (garden pea)
Lineage: Eukaryota; Viridiplantae; Streptophyta; Magnoliopsida; Fabales; Fabaceae
Description: Pisum sativum (pea) long non-coding RNA (PSAT_LNC036834)
Source: RNAcentral